AACGUACGCUGGCGGCACGCCUAACACAUGCAAGUCGAACGAAGUAGCAAUACUUAGUGGCAGACGGGUGAGUAACAUGUAGGUAUCUGCCCUUUGGCCUGGAAUAACACGAGGAAACUUGUGCUAAUACCGGAUAAGUCUUUACGGAGAAAGCUUUAUGCACCAUUGGAUGAGCCUGCACUUGAUUAGUUUGUUGGUGGGGUAAUGGCCUACCAAGACUGUGAUCAAUAGCUGAUUUGAGAGGAUGAUCAGCCACAUUGGGACUGAGACACGGCCCAAACUCCUACGGGAGGCAGCAGUGGGGAAUCUUGCACAAUGGAGGAAACUCUGAUGCAGCGAUGCCGCGUGAGUGAAGAAGGCCCUUGGGUUGUAAAGCUCUUUCGUCGGGGAAGAAAAUGACUGUACCCGAAUAAGAAGGUCCGGCUAACUUCGUGCCAGCAGCCGCGGUAAUACGAAGGGACCUAACGUAGUUCGGAAUUACUGGGCUUAAAGAGUUCGUAGGUGGUUGAAAAAGUUAGUGGUGAAAUCCCAGAGCUUAACUCUGGAACUGCCAUUAAAACUUUUCAGCUAGAGUAUGAUAGAGGAAAGCAGAAUUUCUAGUGUAGAGGUGAAAUUCGUAGAUAUUAGAAAGAAUACCAAUUGCGAAGGCAGCUUUCUGGAUCAUUACUGACACUGAGGAACGAAAGCAUGGGUAGCGAAGAGGAUUAGAUACCCUCGUAGUCCAUGCCGUAUACGAUGUGUGUUAGACGUUGGAAAUUUAUUUUCAGUGUCGCAGGGAAACCGAUAAACACACCGCUUGGGGAGUACGACCGCAAGGUUAAAACUCAAAUGAAUUGACGGGGACCCGCACACGUAGUGGAGCAUGUGGUUUAAUUCGAAGAUACGCGCAGAACCUUACCAACACUUGACAUGUUCGUCGCGACUCUAAGAGAUUAGAGUUUUCGGUUCGGCCGGACGAAACACAGGUGCUGCAUGGCUGUCGUCAGCUCGUGUCGUGAGAUGUUGGGUUAAGUCCCGCAACGAGCGCAACCCUCACUUUUAGUUGCCAUCAUUAAGUUGGGCACUCUGAAAGAACUGCCAGUGAUAAGCUGGAGGAAGGUGGGGAUGACGUCAAGUCCUCAUGGCCCUUACGUGUUGGGCUACACACAUGCUACAAUGGUAUCUACAACAGGAAGCAAGACUGCGAAGUUAAGCAAAUCCCUAAAAGAUACCUCAGUUCGGAUUGCACUCUGCAACUCGAGUGCAUGAAGCUGGAAUUACUAGUAAUCGUGGAUCAGCGUGCCACGGUGAAUGCGUUCCCGGGUCU
Molecule: ribosomal RNA, 1306 nt
Filed under: uncultured bacterium
Lineage: Bacteria
Description: bacterial SSU rRNA
Rfam family: Bacterial small subunit ribosomal RNA
Source: RNAcentral